ACGGAAGGCAGCAGUGGGGAAUAUUGCGCAAUGGGCGCAAGCCUGAUGCAGCGAUGCCGCGUGAGGGAAGAAGGUUUUCGGAUUGUAAACCUCUGUCAUCGGGGACGAUAAUGACUGUACCCGAGAAGGAAGCUCCGGCUAACUACGUGCCAGCAGCCGCGGUAAUACGUAGGGGGCAAGCGUUAUCCGGAUUUACUGGGUGUAAAGGGAGCGUAGACGGUCUUGCAAGUCUGAUGUGAAAGGCAGGGGCUCAACUCCUGGACUGCAUUGGAAACUGUAAGUCUUGAGUGCCGGAGAGGUAAGCGGAAUUCCUAGUGUAGCGGUGAAAUGCGUAGAUAUUAGGAGGAACACCAGUGGCGAAGGCGGCUUACUGGACGGUAACUGACGUUGAGGCUCGAAAGCGUGGGGAGCAAACAGGAUUAGAUACCCUGGUA
This 434-nucleotide ribosomal RNA is filed under the name uncultured Lachnospiraceae bacterium. RNAcentral describes it as "bacterial SSU rRNA". It matches the Rfam family "Bacterial small subunit ribosomal RNA", at positions 341 to 792 of the family's 1533-position model. The record is from RNAcentral. Lineage: Bacteria; Bacillati; Bacillota; Clostridia; Lachnospirales; Lachnospiraceae.